CGAGUCCACACUGCUCCCUUCUCUAUCGAGAGUUUAGCCACAAGUGAGUCAUCCCCUCCAACACUGGUCUUUUACCAUCGUUAGCCUUUGUCAUCAGUUUGCUUCACCUCUUUAGAGGUUUCUUUCUCGGUUCUUCUUAUUUUUGAUCUUCUCUUGUUAAUCCUUUUCAUGACUUCUUCUAGUAGGGAGUUCGGAGAUGAGAAUCCGAUUGAUGAUUAGUGUUCUUGGGCUCCAACAACCCAGUAGGUGAUCGAGGAGAUUACUCGGGAUGAGUCUGAUGAGGUAUCUUCUUUGAUAGGAUCAAUU
Molecule: long non-coding RNA, 306 nt
Filed under: Elaeis guineensis (African oil palm)
Lineage: Eukaryota; Viridiplantae; Streptophyta; Magnoliopsida; Arecales; Arecaceae
Description: long non-coding RNA (EGUI_LNC076728)
Source: RNAcentral